This 519-nucleotide ribosomal RNA is filed under the name uncultured eukaryote. Its description in RNAcentral is "SSU rRNA". It matches the Rfam family "Eukaryotic small subunit ribosomal RNA", at positions 1161 to 1702 of the family's 1831-position model. The record is from RNAcentral.
AGGGCACCACCAGGAGUGGAGCCUGCGGCUUAAUUUGACUCAACACGGGAAAUCUCACCAGGCCCGGACACCGGAAGGAUUGACAGAUUGAGAGCUCUUUCUUGAUUCGGUGGGUGGUGGUGCAUGGCCGUUCUUAGUUGGUGGAGCGAUUUGUCUGGUUAAUUCCGAUAACGAACGAGACUCUGGCCUACUAAAUAGACGUUAGAUCCCUUUGUGGGUCUAUCGCAGCUUCUUAGAGGGACGGGCGGCGUUCAGCCGCACGAGAUUGAGCAAUAACAGGUCUGUGAUGCCCUUAGAUGUUCUGGGCUUCACGCGCGCUACACUGAAGGAAUCAGCGUGUGUUCCCUGCCCGAAAGGACUGGGAAACCCGUUGAACCUCCUUCGUGAUGGGGAUUGGGGAUUGCAAUUAUUCCCCAUGAACGAGGAAUUCCCAGUAGGCGCGAGUCAUAAGCUUGCGUCGAUUACGUCCCUGCCCUUUGUACACACCGCCCGUCGCUACUACCGAUCGAGUGAUUUAGU